This 1026-nucleotide ribosomal RNA is filed under the name Menippe mercenaria (Florida stone crab). RNAcentral describes it as "SSU rRNA". It matches the Rfam family "Eukaryotic small subunit ribosomal RNA", at positions 19 to 1022 of the family's 1831-position model. The record is from RNAcentral. Lineage: Eukaryota; Metazoa; Arthropoda; Malacostraca; Decapoda; Eriphiidae.
AGUAGUCAUAUGCUUGUCUCAAAGAUUAAGCCAUGCAUGUCUAAGUACAAGCCGACUUAAGGCGAAACCGCGAAUGGCUCAUUAAAUCAGCUAUGAUUCAUUGGAUCUGUACCCACACUUACUUGGAUAACUGUGGUAAUUCUAGAGCUAAUACAUGCACCACGUCUCUGACCGCAAGGGAAGAGCGCUUUUAUUAGUUCAAAACCGGUCGGGCCUCGGUCCGUCACCCCACCGUGUUGAAUCUGAAUAACUUGUAGCUGAGCGCACGGUCUCCGCACCGGCGCCGCCUCUUUCAAGUGUCUGCCUUAUCAGCUUUCGAUUGUAGGUUAUACGCCUACAAUGGCUAUAACGGGUAACGGGGAAUCAGGGUUCGAUUCCGGAGAGGGAGCCUGAGAAACGGCUACCACAUCUAAGGAAGGCAGCAGGCACGCAAAUUACCCACUCCCGGCACGGGGAGGUAGUGACGAAAAAUAACGAUGCGAGACUCAUCCGAGGCCUCGCAAUCGGAAUGAGUACACUUUAAAUCCUUUAACGAGGAUCUAUUGGAGGGCAAGUCUGGUGCCAGCAGCCGCGGUAAUUCCAGCUCCAAUAGCGUAUAUUAAAGUUGUUGCGGUUAAAAAGCUCGUAGUUGGAUUUCAGUUCUGGACUGACGGUUCACCGCCCGGUGCACACUGUCACGCUCCGAACAGCCAACAGCCCGCUGGCUCGCACGGGGUGCUCUUCAUCGGGUGUCCCGCGUGGCCGGCAGAGUUUACUUUGAAAAAAUUAGAGUGCUCAAAGCAGGCUACACUGACUGCCUGAAUGCCUAUGCAUGGAAUAAUGGAAUAGGACCUCGGUUCUAUUUUGUCGGUUUUCUGAAUCCGAGGUAAUGACUAAUAGGAACAGGCGGGGGCAUUCGUAUUGCGACGCUAGAGGUGAAAUUCUUGGACCGUCGUAAGACGAACUACUGCGAAAGCAUUUGCCAAGGAUGUUUUCAUUAAUCAAGAACGAAAGUUAGAGGUUCGAAGGCGAUCAGAUACCGCCUUA